AUUUUUUUUCAGAACCUCUUGUGGAAACUGGGUAUGUUUCUGAUAAAGAGACUAACCAACUGGAGAUCAGAGAGGUGGACAGAGGGAGCAGUUCUCCUCCUGCAGAAACAUCCACCAUUUACUCCUACGUCAAACCAAACGGAGUCGAAUCCACAGACGAGUACAGCUUAGUCACUGCAGCCACUGCUCAGAAGGAAACUAAAGAUGACCUGGAUAAUCUCAACUACUCAGAGGUGGAUUUCUCAAAAAGUGGCGCUGCCCCGCUCCACAGCGCCCCCUAUGGCUACACAGAUAACGUCCUCUACUCUGUUCCUCGGGUAGCACAGAGCUCCGACGUUAGCCAUGCAGAAGACACUUCACCUCCUCUUUACUCCACUGUUUCUUUACAUCCGCUGUAGCUUCAAAUCUGUCCUUUCCAAAUGUACUUUCUCAGUGACCGACAGGUGAACACAAAGCUGUGUAAUUACGCAUUUAAAAUGUAUCUGGUAAAUAACUUAAAGGUCUCCUAUCAU
Notothenia coriiceps (black rockcod) is the source of this 512-nucleotide long non-coding RNA. RefSeq lists it as uncharacterized. The record is from RefSeq and is a predicted model, not a curated record. Lineage: Eukaryota; Metazoa; Chordata; Actinopteri; Perciformes; Nototheniidae. The transcript is spliced from 3 exons.